Acinonyx jubatus (cheetah) is the source of this 1122-nucleotide long non-coding RNA. RefSeq lists it as uncharacterized. Lineage: Eukaryota; Metazoa; Chordata; Mammalia; Carnivora; Felidae. The record is from RefSeq and is a predicted model, not a curated record. The transcript is spliced from 3 exons.
GAGAGAGGAUAAAGAGGACAGAGAGGAGAGAGAGAAUCCCAAGCAGGCUCCAUGGCCAGCGCAGAGUCUAAUGCAGGUCUCAAUCUCAUGAACUGUGAGGUCAUGACCCGAUCUGAAAUCAAGAGUGAGACACCCAGGUGCCCCAGUAAUCAAUAUUUUUAUGCUAGGAUUCAUGAAAAUCCUAAAGGUCAGUAGAAGAAAACAAAUGGAUAAAAAAUGACAGAAACCAGUAAGGGUAAUAUAAUGAUAACAUUAUAUUAAUGCUUUAUUGGGCACCUAGUAUGUGCAGAUUUGGUAGAAUAGUCAUUAAAUGUUUUCUCAGUCUUCAUUGUGAAUCAGUGAGAAUGGGUGCCAUCAUGACUAACUUGUAUGAGGCUCAAGAAAAAGUAGUUAUCUUACUGUUGCAGAGCUAGUAAAUGAAUCCAGGAGUGACCAAAUGUCAAAGCCAAGAUUCUUCUCACUACACUAAACUUCACAGAGAUAAAGCCAUGGGGGGUUGGGGAGAGGAGAGAAGAAAAGCAAAUUGAAAUAAUAAAGGAUAACAUGUCUCUGUAACAGGCUGCUUUUUUUGUCUGUCUUUGCAUUGCCAUUAUUCUUCAACCAGUAUAGAAUCCUGGAGGAGACAGACUUCCGGAAUGGCUGAACAAGAACGUUCAUGAACUCACCUUCCCAUAAAAAUAAUUAAAAUACUGGCAAAACAACUAAAGUAACCAUUUCAAAACUCUGAAAACUAACCAAAGCCACAGAACAAACUGAGAAUUACUUAAGAGAAACUACUGAACCUCGAUAGGAUACCAAAAUCACACGUGACAAAGAAAAACAGAUGAAUUGGAAUAUAUCAAAAUGAAGAACUUUUUGUAAUGCAAAUGAUCCAGUCAAGACAGGACUUUGACAGAGGAUUCUGAUGUGACUAAAGCCCGCUUCCGAUGAGCCACUUUGUAUUUCGGCAUCUUGUUAAACAGAGUUGUUGAUUAGCGAAAAGAAAAACACAUGUUUCUGUUUAAAAUUGCUACUAUGUGUAGGAAACAAGUACAACUAUCUCAGGUAAGUUCUCUAUCAAUUAAAUUCAAAACUAAUUUAAAGUUAUAAAUUCAUUAAAAAUAAAGUAAAUAGGAAGGCGCC